UACAGAGACUGCAAGCGUUAUUCGGAUUCACUGGGCGUAAAGGGCGCGCAGGCGGCCGUGUGUGUGAGGCGUGAAAGCCUGGAGCUUAACUCCAGAAUUGCACCUCAAACUACAUGGCUAGAGCAUUGGAGAGGGUAGCAGAAUUCAUGGUGUAGCAGUGAAAUGCGUAGAUAUCAUGAGGAAUACCAGAGGCGAAGGCGGCGACCUGGACAACUGCUGACGCUCAGGCACGAAAGCGUGGGGAGCGAACAGG
This 253-nucleotide ribosomal RNA is filed under the name uncultured bacterium. RNAcentral describes it as "partial 16S ribosomal RNA". It matches the Rfam family "Bacterial small subunit ribosomal RNA", at positions 524 to 776 of the family's 1533-position model. The record is from RNAcentral.